Medicago truncatula (barrel medic) is the source of this 2891-nucleotide RNA transcript. It is a transcript of the gene named receptor-like cytoplasmic kinase 176, with no coding region annotated. The record is from RefSeq and is a predicted model, not a curated record. The transcript has 7 exons. NCBI's taxonomy places the organism in Eukaryota, Viridiplantae, Streptophyta, Magnoliopsida, Fabales, Fabaceae.
AUAUCCUAACUUUUCGUUUGUGGAAAACUUGUUGUUUUCACACUUUCACAAUUUUUUAUUCUCUUUAAUUUCAAGGCAUUACUUAUACAGACUUAUUUGUGUCAAAUUGAAAAAGUCUAGUAUACUUGUAGCUGCUCUUCUGGUUGCAUUGAGAGACAAUCCAAAAGUUCUUUGUUCUUGAAUUAGUUUUAUGUUCAUGGCUUGCUGCUUUAGUGCAAGGGUCAAAGUUGAAAAUCCUACACAUAAUGGUUUGAAUUCAGAGGUUGUUGGAAGAGAAGAGGUUGUUUCGGGUGGUUUGAGCAACAAGGUAUCCUCUUCAACUGUUCUGCUAACUUCAAGGACUGAGGGUGAGAUAUUACAAUCCAACAAUUUGAAGUGUUUCACAUUCAAUGAGGUAAAAACUGCGACAAGAAACUUUCAUCCAAGUGGUGAACUCGAUGAACGUGGAUUUGGUAGGGUAUUCAAGGGGUGGAUCGAUGAGCACAUGCAAGCUCCUACGAAACCAGGUACUGGUUUUGUUGUUGCUGUGAUGAUGUUUAACAAUGAAAGCAACCAGGAACAUAGUGAAUGGUUGGCAAAAAUCAAUUACCUUGGGCAGCUGCGUCAUCCUAAUCUCGUGAAACUGAUUGGUUACUGCUUAGAGGGUUCCUAUCGGAUUUUAGUAUAUGAAUUUGUGACCAAAGGAAAUUUGGAUAAUCAUUUGUUUAGAAGCUUUUCUAACUUUCUACCACUCACUUGGAAAAUUCGUAUGAAGAUAGCUCUUGAUGCUGCCAAGGGUCUUGCAUUUCUACACAGUGAUAAAGUGGGAAAGAUACAUGGAGACUUCAAAACUUCGAAAAUCUUGAUUGGUUCAAACUACAAUGCAAAACUAUUAUUUCUUGGGUUUUUAAAAGUUAGAUCAGAUAGUAAUAUGCCCGACUACGAUGUGGUGGAUAUGGGCCCUCAAAUUAACGCGACACCUGAGUAUAUAGACACAGGUCACCUAACUAAAGAGAGUGAUUUAUACAAUUUUGGGGUUGUUCUCUUGGAAAUUAUGUCAGGCAAACAUGCAUUAGAUAACAACAGGCCAUUUUUGGAUCGUAAUUUUUGGAUCGUAUAGAAGGACAAUACUCAUCGAGUGAAGCAAUGAAAUUAGCUCACAAGUUUUGUUAACAAGACCCAAGUAGGAUCAAAUUGAUAAGUUUUAAAGUUAAGGGAACCAAAAAAGUAUUUAGGUCUUAAAAAAAAUCCAUGUUUAUUCUUUUGUGCAAGAAAGAAAAUAGUAACUUGAGAACAAAAGAGAAAAAAGUCCAAAAAGUUUCCGUUUUAGUUCUUUCAAAAAAUUUCUUUAAUUAUUGGUCCUCUAAACACUCUAAUAUCAAUUUUAGUCUCUGCUUUCUUGUAAAAGUUCACGUUAUGUGUUUCAACUUUCAAACGACUUUUUUUUAUGACAUAUAGUUUAAAAAAGCAUAAAGUUUCACUAGUUUAAUAAUCUAAUUAUUCAAUCUUAAAAUUUAACUAUUUAAUUCAAAACAGGGGUAAAAAUGCAUUUAAAUUUUUUUAAUGACAAAUAUUAAUAAUUAGUUGUUAGGUUUUUUUUUUCUCAUUUAUCCAAGUUUAAACCAUGACCUCCAAUAUUUUAUCCCUUAACUUUAACCAAUUGAGAUACAAUCCUGAAAAAUAUAUUCAAACUAAAAAUAAUAACAUGAUUAAGUUCAAACGACGCACCUCCAGCUUAAUUUUUAUACGAUAUUUGUUUGUUUUUAGUCCUGUAUUUAACAAAAAAAUAGCGUGGCCAUAAUUUCUUAUCCGUCUGAGUCAAAGAAAUAAUAAUUUCUUAUCUAUCUUCUAUGAAAGAUUAAUUAAAAACACACAUAAUUAGUUUAUUAUUUUAUAAUAAAGGUAAAAUACAUAUUUAACUACUAUGGUUUUGUUGUGGCUCUAUUCUUUCUUUCAACUUGAUCAUAAAAAAAACCGAUUAGAGCAGCAGCCAGGACACUGAAAAUUAACAAGAGACAAGAAGAGGUCCAAUCCAAGAGUUCUUUGUUCUUGAAUUAGUUUUAUGUUCAUGGCUUGCUGCUUUAGAGGAAGGGUCAAAGUUGAGAGUCCUACACAUAAUGGUAUCAUUAAUGUUAUUCUAUUUUCCCCCCUUCUAUUUUUUAAUUUUCGAAAUAUUUACCCUAAAAUAAAACUUGAGAAAUAUUUAGUUUAGCAGGUAUUUUUUUUGUGUUAACCCUAGGAAUCAAACUCAGAUCCGAACAAUUCGUCUUUUGGUGGAAUUCUUGUUUAGCUUGUAUCUGAGCUUUUUUUUUUAAAUAAAAUGAUUUUGAUCUCAAAUUGCUCAAAGUUCUUUUUUUUUAAUACACCAAAAAGAUUAAUGGUAUUGACACUAUUGGUAGAAAAAUAGUUGGCAGAAUAUGGCAUAAAAGUUAGUUCAUUUUUCUAUUAUGAUAUGGUUGAAUUCAAAGGUUGUUGGAAGGGAAGAGGAUGUUUUGAGUGGUUUAAGCAACAAGGCAUCCUCUUCAUCUGUGCUUCUAACUUCAAAGACUGAGGGUGAGAUAUUACAAUGCAACAAUUUGAAGUGUUUCACAUUCAAUGAGCUAAAAACUGCUACGACGUACUUUCAUCCAAGCGGUCAAGUGGAUGAACGUGGGUUUGGUAGUGUCUUUAAGGGGUGGAUCGAUGAGCACACGCUAGCUCCUACUAAACAAGGUACUGGUUAUGUUGUUGCUGUUAAGAUGUUUAUCAAAGAAAGCAGCCAACUGGGACAGAAUGAAUGGUUGAAAUCAAUUAUCUUGGGCAGCUGCAUCAUCCUAAUCUCGUGAAACUGAUUGGUUACUGAUUAGAGGAUAGCUACCGAAUUUUUGUGUACGAAUUUUUGGCCGAGGGAAGUUUGGAUAAUCAUUUGUUUA